This 1038-nucleotide long non-coding RNA is filed under the name Coturnix japonica (Japanese quail). RNAcentral describes it as "lncRNA (ENSCJPG00005016259.1)". The record is from RNAcentral. Lineage: Eukaryota; Metazoa; Chordata; Aves; Galliformes; Phasianidae.
AUGGCCACAAAGGGCUUUGAGUCCCCCCGUGACUCAGUUUCCCCAUGUGCAGCUUCAGGAAGCACAAUGGGACGGGGGAAGGACGCUGCUGGGAUAGCUGGGAAUGCUCCUGGUGAUGCUGGAGCAGCUCUGGGAGUGCUGGCACAUGUCCCACAUCCCCUGUCCUUUUCCACCAGCCUUCUGGCUCCAGUCUGGAGCCUGACCAGUUUGAGGGACCGACUCCACAUUAACCCUUUCACCUCCAUGAUGCUGCUCUGCCUCUUCCAACUCCCAUCCCUCCUCCUGCACCCACUGCAGCCACCACUGAUGGGAUUGAGUGUGGGGCCACGCCUGCAGCUCAUUGGAUGGGGGGACACCCUCAGGCUUCCUGCCAUGUCCCCCCUCCAGGACCCCUGGGACAACUGGCAAUACAUCUCCAAGAUAAGCUUGGACUGUUUCCUUAACCAGCCCAGCAUCAAGUUUGCCAUGUCAGCACUCAUCUUGAUCAGUUUCUGGCUGUACUGGAAGGUGAGGGAUGUGGCGAUCCAGGCAGGAGGGAGACCUUCAGCAUCCCUCCACCCCUGUGUCCUUCCAUCCUUCCAUGUUUUUACCCCAUCUCUGCCCCUCUUUGGCUGCCUCCUCGUGUCUCUGCAUUUACAAGUCCCUGAGUCCCUUAUUCCCCCCAUCCCACUGUGUGUCCCUUUGUGUCCAUCCCUGUGUCCCUUUAUCCUUCCAUCCCUGCGCCACCACAUCUUUGUGUCCCUCAGUCCUUCCAUCUCUCCUUCCUUCCAUCCCUCUAUUAUUGUCUCUGCGUCCCUGCAUCCCUCUGUCCUUCCAUCCCCAUGUCCAACAUCUUUGUGUCCCUGUGUCCUUCCAUCUCUAUGUCCCUCUGUCCCUCCCUUCUUCUGUCCCUCCAUCCUCGCAUCCUUCUGUCCCACCGUCUCCCUCCAUCCCUCCGUCCUCCUGUCCGUCCUUUCUCUGCCGAUCCGGAGCAUUUCUCAGCCCUCUGCUGCCGUCUCGAGGGCGAAGAAGGAAGAGCCGCUCAGAGACACGGUUUAG